Molecule: ribosomal RNA, 538 nt
Filed under: uncultured bacterium
Lineage: Bacteria
Description: bacterial SSU rRNA
Rfam family: Bacterial small subunit ribosomal RNA
Source: RNAcentral
AAUAGAUACCCAGGUAGUCCACGCCGUAAACGAUGAGUGCUAGGUGUUAGGGGGUCCAACCCCUUAGUGCUGAAGUUAACACAUUAAGCACUCCGCCUGGGGAGUACGACCGCAAGGUUGAAACUCAAAGGAAUUGACGGGGGCCCGCACAAGCAGUGGAGCAUGUGGUUUAAUUCGAAGCAACGCGAAGAACCUUACCAGGUCUUGACAUCCUCUGACAACCCUAGAGAUAGGGCGUUCCCCUUCGGGGGACAGAGUGACAGGUGGUGCAUGGUUGUCGUCAGCUCGCGUCGUGAGAUGUUGGGUUAAGUCCCGCAACGAGCGCAACCCUUGAUGUUAGUUGCCAGCAUUCAGUUGGGCACUCUAACGUGACUGCCGGUGACAAACCGGAGGAAGGUGGGGAUGACGUCAAAUCAUCAUGCCCCUUAUGACCUGGGCUACACACGUGCUACAAUGGGCGGUACAAAGGGCAGCGAAACCGCGAGGUGGAGCCAAUCCCAUAAAGCCGCUCUCAGUUCGGAUUGCAGGCUGCAACUCG